UUGUUCAGAGAAGGAUUAAUGUGGAUGUCUCUCCCAACCAAUUGCAAAAACGGGGUCUACCUUCCUAGAGCCAGUCCAUAAAGGCCAAGGGAAUUGUGACUCUAGGUUACAGUUACCAAGUCGACAAAGUCAUUUCUGAACUUCCAUGUAUUUUCAUAACGGAAAAUAUUUGAUCUGGAGAAACAUAUUAGUAAAUUCAAUAAGGAAUUGAAUUAGAUCCAUUUCUUGCUUCAAAAUGUCUGCUUUCCCAAAAUCAAAGAUGUAAGCACCUUACCGUGCUAUAGAUUAUAUCCAACAUCUAUGUAAUGCAGCUAUAUCCCUCCAUUGAUGUAUCAGUGCAGUCUGGUUCAGUUAAGUAGAAACAUGUGCUGGCGUCAAAAUUAUGUGGGUAAUCUAACUUAAAUAUACAUAUGUUACUUAUAUUGCCUCUCUUACCUCACAUCCAACGAAUAUUGCCAUCUAACAAAUAUCCACGUCGAUGGCACUAUCAUGAAAAUCUAAAUUUU
Lolium rigidum is the source of this 506-nucleotide long non-coding RNA. RefSeq lists it as uncharacterized. The transcript is spliced from 3 exons. NCBI's taxonomy places the organism in Eukaryota, Viridiplantae, Streptophyta, Magnoliopsida, Poales, Poaceae. The record is from RefSeq and is a predicted model, not a curated record.